AGCGAACGCUGGCGGCGUGCCUAACACAUGCAAGUCGAACGUGAAAGGGAGCAAUCCCAAGUAAAGUGGCGUACGGGUGAGUAACACGUAGGUAAUCUACCCCAGAAUCUGGAAUAACCGGCCGAAAGGCUGGCUAAUACUGGAUAGAGCGACGGAAUCCGUAAUUGGGUUUUUCGGGAAAGGGAGCCUGUAAAAAGGCCUUCGUUCUGGGAUGAGCCUGCGUCCCAUCAGCUAGUUGGUGAGGUAAAAGCUUAGCCAGGCAAUGACGGGUAGCUGGUCUGAGAGGACGAGCAGCCCCAAUGGAACUGAAACACGGUCCAGACUCCUACGGGAGGCAGCAGUGGGGAAUCUUUCGCAAUGGACGAAAGUCUGAAGCAGCAAAGCCGCGUGAGUGAAGAAGGCCUUCGGGUUGUAAAGCUCUGUCGAGUGGGACGAAAAUGCUUGGAGUUCACAGCUCCAGGAACUGACGGUACCACUAAAGGAAGCACCGGCUAACUCCGUG
This 502-nucleotide ribosomal RNA is filed under the name uncultured bacterium. RNAcentral describes it as "partial 16S ribosomal RNA". It matches the Rfam family "Bacterial small subunit ribosomal RNA", at positions 29 to 507 of the family's 1533-position model. The record is from RNAcentral.